This 582-nucleotide ribosomal RNA is filed under the name Triticum aestivum (bread wheat). RNAcentral's name for it is "partial small subunit ribosomal RNA". Lineage: Eukaryota; Viridiplantae; Streptophyta; Magnoliopsida; Poales; Poaceae. The record is from RNAcentral.
AUGAAUCAACCUGAUGGGAUCAACAUCCCCAACAGCAAGUUCUAUCUUGGAGAUGCUGGCUAUGCAUGUCGACUGGAUAUUCUUCCACCCUUCAGGAAAACCAGGUACCAUCUCAACGAGUUCUUUGGUAAGAACUAUCCUAGGACUGCACAGGAGUUGUAUAAUCUCAUACACUCCAGCCUUAGAGUAACUGUUGAGAGGGCAUUUGGAGCUAUGAAGAAUAGGUUUAAGAUCCUGGAUCAGAAGCCAUUCCAUCCAUACCCCACUCAGGUUAAGCUUGUUCUUGCUUGUUGCAUUCUGCAUAACUUGAUGAACACGUGCCUAAGGAGGAAGAGGUCGAGCUUGACGAUGUUGUUAGCUCCGGACAUGGUGUGGAGGCAUUUGACAAUGACACUUGGAAGAACAAAAGGUUGGAGUGGGCAGAGGCAAUGUGGCUUAACAGAGGUCAGUGCAGGAUUUGAAAAAGAGGAGGAAGAAGAAGAAGCAGUAGUAGCAGCAGAAGUAGAAGAGGAAGAGGAAGAUCUGGUAGCAGCAACACCGAUGAACUAUCACCUAUUUAGCCAAUGUCUCUUAUUAAUUUGA